UCUAAGGAUGAAUGAAAGUAAAAUUUCAUUCUAAAUAAUAUACAUCGGUAAUGUUGACCGUCCUCAUUUCUCUUCUUAAAGUAGUGUUUCUCUUGCAUGGGGGCCGGUAGCUCAGUUGGUUAGAGCACACCCUUGAUAAGGGUGGGGUCGAAAGUUCGAGUCUUUCUCGGCCCACCAACAUAAGAUCAUGGGGGAUUAGCUCAGCUGGGAGAGCGCCUGAUUUGCAUUCAGGAGGUCAGCGGUUCGAUCCCGCUAUCCUCCACCAAAAACACUUAGCUAUAAUAAAUUGUAAAUAAAAAUAAUAAUUAAUAUCAAUAUCUAUAUCCGAACAUUAGUAAUGUUAUUAGCUAAUGUUCAAAAUAAAAAUUUGAUUCAACACAGAAUUUUUUUCUG
RNAcentral lists this transfer RNA (393 nucleotides) under Candidatus Pelagibacter ubique HTCC8051. RNAcentral describes it as "partial 16S-23S ribosomal RNA intergenic spacer". The stretch from base 101 to 174 matches the Rfam family "tRNA". The record is from RNAcentral. Lineage: Bacteria; Pseudomonadati; Pseudomonadota; Alphaproteobacteria; Candidatus Pelagibacterales; Candidatus Pelagibacteraceae.